GCGGACGUGGUGCACGGUGCACCGCUGCGAGCAAUUUGUGAGUGUUGUCGUAUUUAAUACAGCAGCCGAACAGGGUUCGACUCCCUGCGUCCGCA
This is a non-coding RNA of Mycena epipterygia, 95 nucleotides long. The record is from the annotation of a GenBank genome assembly. NCBI's taxonomy places the organism in Eukaryota, Fungi, Basidiomycota, Agaricomycetes, Agaricales, Mycenaceae.